Molecule: long non-coding RNA, 1810 nt
Organism: Anguilla anguilla (European eel)
Lineage: Eukaryota; Metazoa; Chordata; Actinopteri; Anguilliformes; Anguillidae
Exons: 2
Source: RefSeq, a predicted model, not a curated record
UUUAUUUCUAAUAUAAUACACAGAGUUAACAUCAAUAUUUGAGUGGAAGGAUUUUAUUUUUGUUUGUAAAAAUGAAUGGAGCCCAAUGAGGAAACUUGCUUUUUGAGCAAAAAUCAUAGAUAUCACCAGGGGGCGACAUUACAUCCGGUACUGCGGUUGAGAACCAAAAGCUGGCUCCUUGAUUAUAUCCCACAGUCCAUCACUUAUCCGAUGCAUCCCCAUAGAUCGGUCAUAGGAACUCGGGAGGGUAGGAGUGGCCAGUCAGUGAAGCCCAGGAAGUAUCGGGAAACAGCCACUACUGAGCAUGUUCACAACUGUUGAGGGCAAAAGAGCUUGCUGCUCAUUGAAUUGAAUGUAGAAAUCCAAGGUGAUUUAACAACCAAAGAAAACCUCAUCAGUCCAUUUUUCUGUGACCAUAAAUGUCAUUAUGUGCAGCAGUUUCCGAAACAAUGGUUGUUUUGUAAUUCUGUAGUGGUGUAGCAAAUUAUAUUGGAAUGUAUAGGUAUAACAAUAUUGUAGUGCAGUUGUUGAAUGAGAGCAAUGCAUUUUACAGGUAUACUGCUGUAGUAUGAUACAGGUAGAAUAGCAACUGAACCAGGGGUUGUUUGUUGAUUUUGUAUCAUUUGUAUGGAACACUUAAUUAAUUUCAUGUUGCUCUCCUGCUACUUUUUCAUUUCUUGCCACAAUUACUUCCAUCUAGAACUCAUCCAUAGUAGUAACACUGGGCUUUGGUUUCUCACACAAACUAUAUUAGCCUUCAGCCUCACUGCUUGGCUCACCAACAAAGCCUUAAGAACAUAAAAUGUUUCUGAAUAAGCUGCAAAAUCCACAAAAAGAUAUUAUUUCAUUGACUAAUUUCCCGUUUUUUUUGCAUUGCCUUGAUCACUAUUUCAGACAAUAUGUAUGCAGUAUGUAUAUUUGAUAUUUGAAACCAUACCAAAUUGGGAGUCUUCAAGAUAGCAUUCAUUAUGAUGAUGAUGGUAAUAAUAAUAAUAAUAAUAAUAAUAUCUCAAUUAAUGCUUAGAGGAUUGAGCAAUAUGCACAAAAAUGCUCCUUAUGAUAAAAGCCCAUUUUCUAAACACAGAACAAGGAGAAAACAGCAGGAAUAAUAAAUUGCCAUAUUCAAGGUAAACAGGGUAAAUUUGGCUAGUUAUUAAUGCAAUAUUGCUAUUGGCAUAAAUAUGCUUCAUGCUCUGCAUGCUCUUUCUUUCUCCUAAGAAAUAGAAACGUCUUACAUACUGUAUGUUUAGAAGUCCCCAAUCCCACAAGUGAUUAUCCAAUCAUAACAUGGGAUACAAUGAAAUAAUAGAAGAAAAGUGGGAACAAAGUGGUACUGCAUUCAGUCACUAGAGGGACUAGAGAGCAAAAAACCAUCCAAUAGUAUUUUGAGCACAUAUAGUUCCCUUGGAAUUUUGACUAAGGUCUAUUUAACUGCUACUGGUCUGCAUGUGACAGGUGUUAAAUGAAAUUGCAAUUUAGUGUAAUGGUCUCAGAAGAGAAAUGUUCUUAAUGGUUUUAUUUUGAUGUGUAUCUUUUGGACUGAGGAGCCCGGAGUACCCCAUAAACAGCACCUGAGGUAUCAAGACAGCAAAAUGUUCUAGGCAUGACUCCCUGUGCCCCAUGUCUCUGAGCAUUAUACAUACGCGACCGCCAAAAUAGAAGAUGCCGAGGAGAACAAAUUGACUGUGAGGAUUCAGGAUGAUUGUUCUGCACAAAGGCUGCUUCACCUCAGGGAGAACACCUCCCUUUAAAUUCACCUUUAGAACAAGAUGGAUGAACCAGACCUAGGUCAAAUAAAUAUCUGAAAUAA